This 406-nucleotide ribosomal RNA is filed under the name uncultured bacterium. RNAcentral's name for it is "partial 16S ribosomal RNA". It matches the Rfam family "Bacterial small subunit ribosomal RNA", at positions 30 to 526 of the family's 1533-position model. The record is from RNAcentral.
AUUUAACGCUGGCGGCAGGCCUAACACAUGCAAGUCGAACGAGUGGCGGCCGGGUGAGUAAUGUCUGGGAAACUGCCUGAUGGAGGGGGAUAACUACUGGAAACGGUAGCUAAUACCGCAUACCAUCAGAUUUUCCCCUAUGGUAUUCGCUUGUUGGUGGGGUAACGGCUCACCAAGGCGACGAUCCCUAGCGGGCCUGAGAGGAGGACAAGACACACUGGAACGGAGACACGGUCCAGACGCCUACGGGAGGCAGAAGUGGGGAAUAUUGCACAAUGGGAGCAAGCCUGAGAUAUGCAUGAUGGGUGUAUGAAGAAGGCCUUCGGGUUGUAAAGUACUUUCAGCGGGGAGGCGGUACCCGAAGAAGAAGCACCGGCUAACUCCGUGCCAGCAGCCGCGGUAAUUC